GACGAACGCUGGCGGCGUGCUUAACACAUGCAAGUCGAGCGAGGCCCCUCCUUCGGGGGGGUGUCCUAGCGGCGAACGGGUGAGUAACACGUGGGCAACCUGCCCUCAGCUCUGGGAUAACUCCGGGAAACCGGGGCUAAUACCGGAUACGACCUCCACGGGCAUCUGCGGAGGUGGAAAGUUUUUCGGCUGGGGAUGGGCCCGCGGCCUAUCAGCUAGUUGGUGGGGUAGUGGCCCACCAAGGCGACGACGGGUAGCCGGCCUGAGAGGGCGACCGGCCACACUGGGACUGAGACACGGCCCAGACUCCUACGGGAGGCAGCAGUGGGGAAUAUUGCGCAAUGGGCGAAAGCCUGACGCAGCGACGCCGCGUGAGGGACGAAGGCCUUCGGGUUGUAAACCUCUUUCAGCAGGGACGAAGCGAAAGUGACGGUACCUGCAGAAGAAGCACCGGCCAACUACGUG
This 465-nucleotide ribosomal RNA is filed under the name uncultured bacterium. RNAcentral's name for it is "partial 16S ribosomal RNA". It matches the Rfam family "Bacterial small subunit ribosomal RNA", at positions 28 to 507 of the family's 1533-position model. The record is from RNAcentral.